This 302-nucleotide unclassified non-coding RNA is filed under the name Zea mays. RNAcentral's name for it is "misc RNA Zm00001eb277120". The record is from RNAcentral. Lineage: Eukaryota; Viridiplantae; Streptophyta; Magnoliopsida; Poales; Poaceae.
AGAGUCUCCUGGAGGACGCCCUGGUAGAUGUAGGCGGACCAGAUCCCGGCGACACAGAAGGCGAGGACGGCCACGCGCCCCGCCAUGCUUCCGCUGACGCCGACGACACGGUCGCGGGGGCGGGGACGGACGACGCCGUUGGCACCGUCGGCGCGGCCCCGGCGUGCGGCGGCCAUGGUGUCGAUUCGCCCGCCGGCGAUGGCGAGGGGUCAGCAGAAUCGGCACUGGUGGCGAUUCGAUGCGCGGUGUACCGGCGGCGGUGCCCGGUGGUCGCCGAGUGGAAGCGGGAUCGCGUGUUAUAG